This is a long non-coding RNA of Cuculus canorus (common cuckoo), 4661 nucleotides long. RefSeq lists it as uncharacterized. The record is from RefSeq and is a predicted model, not a curated record. NCBI's taxonomy places the organism in Eukaryota, Metazoa, Chordata, Aves, Cuculiformes, Cuculidae. The transcript has 3 exons.
AUUUCCAGGCUGGCAGCAUUUGAUUUACUUUUUGCUGUCUCUGAAAUUGUAUAAUUAGUUCCCAAGUUACGACGCCUGUGAAGUCUCUGCCUUGUUGGGGGUGGGAGAUGUGGAGUUACAGCUGCAGCCAUCGUUCUGGCAAAGAUAGCUUCCCCUUGAGAAAAUUAAUUUUUAACAUAGAAAUGAAUACCAAGCAGAAUUCCCCUAGAAAAUGGGCAACGCUUGGAAGACGCCUCUCAGGGCGCUGCUAAGCUGUCUUUGGUAAAAGGAGCUCUCUAGUGUCCAGCUGUAACACUGCAGUUCAGGAAGAUGCUAUGAGCACUCAACUUAGUCAAAUAGAUGUGUAAAGCAAAUGGAAAGCCUGUGUCUCUUCUUUUAGGUACUCAGUGCUAAUGCAUAAAGUGCAAAGUGCUACUUAAACAUCACAAUCACUCAAACCAAUACUGUACUCAAAAGUUUUAAGGCACAGUGCAGAGGUCUCAUUCAUUCUCAUCUGCCUUUCUCCACCCAUGUUUUAAAGGAACUUCUGCUGCACCGAUGAAGCGGCUCCUCUUUUAUCUGUGGAGCAAGGAUGUGUGUGCAUGUCUGCCAACAUUCAGGCCAUCAAAAAAGGGUUUAACAUUUUACUGUGCUCCCCUUAGAGACAGCAAAUUUCUUGCCAUUUGGGGUUCUAAGGUCAUGUGUACGUACUGGUUUGCGGUGCUGUAUCUGGUACAAGUGAACACCUAAUUGCAGCUGCUGGCUUGUAGUGCAUGCACCUCGUUAAAUAAAAUUGUCUCCUGAUUAGGUAAAAUUGUCUUGUGUCAGACAAAAUAAGCCCUUGGUCAUUAAUCCUGGGAAGCAAAUCACAAGAAAAAGGACGUGCGGCUGGUAGGAUACAAAAGCAGGUAGUCCCUCUCUCUUUCUAAAAUGAAGGCUUUAACACUUUAAUUAGCAGCUAUUACACAGGUUUGAGUGCAUGCUAGAAUAACAAUAUAUUGCCUUUACACUGCUUUUAAUGCUUGCAUUUUGUUUUUUCAACAGGUCCAUGAUGAUCUCAAUAAUGUUAAUAAAAAUGAACUAAAAAGUCUAUUUGGUUAUCAUGGGAUAUCGCAGAUGGAGAAUAAUGACUUGGCAAAUUGGCAAGCUGAGAUUAUCUGCAAAUAUUAUGAGAGACACUAGAAGGUCUUAUAAAAUACACCAUCAUUUUUAAUAGCAUUUUGCUAUUAUGGUACCUCCCUUGUGCAUACUGCAGUUUAAUAUUGCAAGUAUGAAAAACGAUGCCAUAGUUGAAGCUUUGCCACUGAAAAGCACCAUCUUGUGUUUCCUAUGCUCCACUUCCCACAGCAAGGCUUAUUCUAGAGUAGAAAAUAAAUUAAGGUGUAAUAAUUAACUAGAUGUGUUUCAAAGGCAAGAACUCCCACACAGGGCUAAGUUUCUCACCUUUAAUCACCACCAACAAAAUGACAGUGGAUUUCCUGCAAUUUACUGUGAGAAAGAAAUUUAAACCUUUUGCCUUUAGAUGUGUUCGCAGCAUUUUUUCCUUUUGCCAUUCUCGACCUUCAUUUUCUGAGCUCAGCUUACAGAGAAGUUAUCAUCUUAGUGGCUAAGAAACAAUUCCAAGACUAUAAGACACAAACAGCAAAGAAUCCUGCCAGAUUCAGGUCAGUCAUGACAAUAAUAGUUUUUCUCCACUUAGCAUUUCAGCUCAGAAUUAAGGUAAACACUCUUGAUAAACACAAAACCUAUCAGUACAUUGUUAUGUCUAAGCAACCUGUGGAAUAUCUAAGAUACAGCAGCCCAUUUUUCCUUUAUUUUUUCAAAUCUGCAGGCACGGUGGCAAUGGCUUAACCAUUCUCUUGGCUUUUUUUUCAAAAUAAAACAAACUGUAGAUAUUUUCAGACCAGGAAGCUAAAGCAAACUCAUCCUUACCUCCUCAGUAAACUCUUUGUAAGAAGUCCUUGGAUGCUUAUUCACAAAAACAUGGGACUCUUUUUCAUUAAGAUUUAGGCUAGAAUGGGUCUGUUAAGAUCUUCUUGCCUGAAGUCCUGCAUAAUACAGGGUGGAGAAUUUCAGCAAAGUCCAUGACUAAUUUAAGAUUUAUUUGGGUCUUUGUAACCCACAAAAGCCCUCACUGCCUCCAGCUGAUGUCAAUGGAACAGUUGUUGAAUUCAGGUGAACUGGAGCAAAGCUUCAGAGAAGAGAGCAGUUCCUGGAGUCCCACAGUCAUUUGUCAGGCAAAACCUGGCAUUUUAAACCAUAUCAUCUUUGAAAAUGACAAACCAGAAGAUGUAUCUUAAUAAGAAGAAUAAACUCCAUAAUUUGGGACAGCACAGAACACACCUGGUUUCAUGCUUCAUUUCUACUUUUAAACAUAGAAGAGCCUCAGAGAAGCAUCUGCUGAGCUUCUGAUUUGAAUCAGCUGCAAGUACCUGCUUGCCAAAAGCAAGUCCAACUUAGAUGUGAAAUCAAGUAAAUCUCAGUAUUGCUGGGUCAGUUUCGUAUUUAGAUCGAAAACUGAUAGCGAGGCUGGACGGGUGGCAAAGACUUAUGGAAAUUUUCAUUAGAUGAAGAUUCGAAGUGGAUAAUUCUGUUGUUCCAUGAAUAGUUUCAAUCCAGUAAGCUGCAGUUUUAAAGCCUCGGAUGGCCAAGGGUUCUCACUGGAUUACCUCUGCUGGGAUGCACCCCACUCCAGCUAAGCAAAGAGCAGGACACCAGUGACCGAGGGGAGGUUCAUUGAAGCCAAGAUUCCAUCCUGUGCUGGAGAUUGUGACACGAGGCACUGGAAUCAUAGCUCUUGAAGACAUCAUGAUGGUGGUCUCCAUGCAGAGUGCUCAGCUUGCUCCAGCUCUGAGCUACAAAUUUGAAGAUCUGGACAGAAAUUAACUUUGUUUUGGUUUUUCUAAUCACCAAAGUCAGAAUUUUCCAUGGAGGGAAAAAUAUAUUUCGACUGAUUACAGCAGCAAAGACAUUGAGGCAACCAGGCCAACUGAAGUGCAGAUGUUUUAAGCCAUUUGCCCACUGAUGAUGGAAAAGGCUGUGGGUGUAGUUGGGAGAAGAACCCAAGAGCUCCAACCCUCAGCUUUACAUCUUUGGUUUUCACUUUCAUAAGGGUACUGUCAGUCCUACUGUUUCAAAGACAUGGAUGUAUGAAGCAUCCCCUUGGUUUGUGCUUUUUCAAAAAACUUAUCAACUUCUUUUUAAACAGGGUCAUUUUUAAGAGUCCUUUGUCUUUCACAGCCUCAAAAGUAUAACGCAAAAAGUUUUAACAUGUAAAGACAUAAUAUAGGGUCAUUUUUAUACUGACACUUGGUUGGGUUCAGAUUCAAAAUAGAUUGAGAUAUGCCUCUUUUUUGCAUAACUCCAAGCUCAGCUUCAAGCAUGUAAGUGGGAAAAUUAACAUUAAAAUGAAUCUUUAAACUGCAAUCACUUCGAAGAUGCAGAGCAUGAAGCAUUCAAAUGGCUCCCACCCAGUGACCCAGAUAAAACAGACAGAUCAGUACAGCAAUUUGGUUGCUAGAAUUUCAGAAACACAAAGAUGUGGAGGCUUUACUGAGCUCGCAGUUUAACUCUACAUUUGCACUCUAAUGCAGUUCAAAGAAAAAAAACGAAUGCCCAGACACUUCUUCCAUUGAACACCUCCAGGGAAGGAGACUCUACCACUUCUCUCGGCAACUUGUUCCAAUACCACUCUUUCGGUAAAGAAUUUUUUUAAAAUAUCCAGUCUAAACCUCCCCUGGUGCAACCUGAGGCCAUUUCCUCUUGUCCUAUCACUUGUUACUUGGGAGAACAGAUGAACACCCAUCUCACUACAACCUCCUUUUCAGGUAAUUGUGGAGAGCGAUGAGGUCUCCCCUCAGCCUUCGCUUCUCCAGGCUAAAUAAUCCCAGUUCCCUCAGCUGCUCCUUAUAAGACUUGUUCUCCAGACCCCUCACCAGCUUGGUUGACCUCCUCAACUCAGCAGCUCAAUGUCUUUCUUAUAGUGAGGGGCCCAAAACUAAACACAAUAUUCAAGGUACAGCCUCACCAGUGCUGAAUAUAGGGACACGAUCACUUCCCUGUUCCUGCUGGCUACAACAUUUUUUUAUACAAGCUGGGAUUCUGUUGGCCUUCUUGGCCACCGCAGCACACUGCUGGCUCAUGUUCAGUCAGCUGUCAACCAGCAACCCCAGGUCUUUUCCCACCAGGCAGCUUUCCAGCCACAUUUCCCCGGAUCUGUAGUGCUGCAUGGGGGUGUUGUAAGUAAAGUGCAGGACCUGGCACUUGGCCUUGUUGAACCUCAUACAACUGUCGUUGGCCCAUCUAUCCAGCCUGUUCAGAUCCCUCUGCAGAGCCUUCCUACCUUCAAUCAGAUCAACACUUCUGCCCAGUUUGGUAUCAUCUGCAAACUUACUGUGAGUGCACUCAAUCACCUCAUCUAGAUCAUUGAUAAAGAUAUGAAACAGAACCAGCCCCAGCAAUGAGCCCUGAGGAACACCACUUGUGAUCAGCUGUCAACUUUUUAACACUCUUCACCACAACUCUCUGUGCUCAGCCACCCAGCCAAUUUUUUACCCAGCAAAGAGUACACAUGUCUAAGCCAUGAUCUGCCAGCUCCUCUAGAAGAAUCUUUCAGGCCUGCAGUCCUGUAGUUCCCCAGAAAUUGGUAAUAUGAUGUAGACAUCAUUUAUGUUGACAUUGAA